CUUUGAUAUGUAUGCAAAUGGAAAAAUUAAUCAGUAAAGCGACUUAAGUGAUUAUCUAAGAACUUGCUUAAAUAUCAGAAGAAUAAAAUUCUCACAUUUAUAUAUGAUGACACCUUACCAAAAAAUAUAAAUUAUAACAAUUCAAAUGAAUAACAAGAAUAUUUAGUAGCUACAUUACAAGAAAAACCAAUAUUCCCUCCGGCCUUAAUUAUAAGCAAAUUUCCACUUUUCAUAUUCAUUGGAUAACUAAUGUAUCUGACCUUAAUUAUAUACCAGAUACAUUAGUUAUCCAAUGAAUCUAAGGCCGGAGGGAGUAAUCAACAAGGGGACUAAGUGCAGCUUUGAACUUCC
This 351-nucleotide long non-coding RNA is filed under the name Trifolium pratense (red clover). RNAcentral describes it as "long non-coding RNA (TPRA_LNC011766)". The record is from RNAcentral. Lineage: Eukaryota; Viridiplantae; Streptophyta; Magnoliopsida; Fabales; Fabaceae.